UCUAAAUCUAACAUCUAGUCUAGGGUUUUUACAUCUACUUCCAAGCUUCAAAGAUCGGAUCUUUAUUCUAUUCAUUCUUCGUCACCGUCUUCAAUUUUAUUUUACAAUCAAUCAAACUCAUGUAUUUGGGACCGUGACGAUUAUUGUGAUUAGGUCUCGUUCGUCGUAAUUGGCCUUAUCGGCCUUGCCGACCAUUCUGCUAUAUCACCACCCAUAUUCUGAGUCCCUUUUUUCUGCAACCAUUUCCUUAUUUUUCUUUAAUUUUCGAUUUUUUGUUGCAAAGGCUCGUGCUUUUUCAAUUGGCCAAUGAUUAAAAUUACAAAAAAGACAAGCAUAUGUCUGAAGUAAUUCGUGUGGAUCAAUCUAAUCUUCUCUAUGAGGCCGAUCAAAUUCCAGAAUUUAGCUGAAAAUUUUAAGUUUUUGUACUUUAUUUCUUCCAUUAUGUCUUGUUUUUGCUGCAUAGACUUAAAUGCGUGAUUUUACUUUUUCCCUCAGAUACCCAAAUGCUUUUCUUGCCAGUGAUGAAGGUUUAUAAUAAAUGGAUGGUUUAGUGCGCUCAAGUUUAAAUGGCCAAUGAUGAUAAAUCCAAAGGCUUGUUUCUCUAAACAUUCGCAGUGGCCGCCUAAGAGCUUUCGCCUUCGCCAGGCUUGAGAGCUUGUGCUGCUUUAAUCCUUCCUUGGAUGUCUGAGGUCACUUAAUUUGCCAAAAUUUGUCAUUAAUAUAGUUUUUGCUGGUUUUUUGGUUAAUGUUACGGUUUCUAGUAAAAUGUUUGUUUUCAGGAUUAUUUUGUUGAAGAAAACACUUACUUCGGUGCGGUAGCCUAUGGUUGGAGCUUUAGUAAUGAAAAUAAUACAUAAGAGGGUACAUUGAAAUCAAGAGGAUUGACAUUAGGCUAUGUUUGGGGCCUGUUGCCGCGUUUUACAUUUUAAAAAAGGAAAAAAUGGGACCUUAUCGAUCGGGCAAAAAUCCCUUUAAAUCUGAACCACCAAUCACAUUAACAUCUUCCACGUGAAGGGAAAAUAGAAAGAUUAUUUUGAAGAAGUUUAUGGUUAAAGGGUGGAACUGAUUAAGCUAAAUAGCCAAUGGCAAUAAUACACAAUUAAUAUGAAGGGAUUUUAAUCAGAGUUUGAGGCUUUGAGCAUGAAAUUAGCCUCUCUUCCAAGAUACGUGCCUCCAACUCCGAACUCCACUGAACAUGCCGAGUAUCUACAAAAAUAAGCAGAAUGUCUUCAUUUUUUGUUAAUUUGUAUUGGUUACUAAAUAUUUUUGACAUUUUUGAAUCGCCAAUUUUAAAAAUUGGAAUUGAAUUAGAAAAGAGGUCAAAAAUUGGUUGGUUGAAUUGAAGAGUAAUCUGACCGGUUUUCCAAAAAUUUUCAAAAUGAAAAAUUUUCAGACGAAAAAUUGUAUGACAACUCUGAUGCGAAAAAUUUUCCUUUUUAGUGUCCCAAAAAAGGAAAUCUCAAGGCGACUAUGAAAUCUCAGGAUCUUGAAACUGGAAGCUCAAGCUGCUAUUUUCUCCUUUUUCAAGCGCAUGUAGUCCCUUUCCUAUACAAUCGCCCCAUUCCAUUCUGCUCUCUUGCAGUGGACAAAGGAGGCGGUGGCAAACAUGUGCGGAUAAGACUUAUAAGUGGUUAUAAGGUGCAAAGGGGAGAGGUGCUCUAGAAUCGAAAGGGAGUUAAAGAGGGAGAAGGAAGGAGACUAAAUUGAAAGAGGUUUGCUGCCAUAAAGGAAGAUGUGAUUUUUAGUUUCGAUUCCUUUUUCUAGAGGAUUAAAUGAGGGCACAGAUUUGGUGCACCAAUGUGUUGAAAAAUCUGUAUGUAAAUUUUUUUUCUUUGGGUCUAUUCGGUUAUAAUUUUUAAGAAUGGGGUGUUUUCUUAAUUUUCUUUAUCUAUUCGGUUAACCUCCUUACCUCCA
Arachis stenosperma is the source of this 1914-nucleotide long non-coding RNA. RefSeq lists it as uncharacterized. The record is from RefSeq and is a predicted model, not a curated record. NCBI's taxonomy places the organism in Eukaryota, Viridiplantae, Streptophyta, Magnoliopsida, Fabales, Fabaceae. The transcript has 2 exons.